CAGCCGCCACGGGAAAACGAAGGGUGCAAGCGUUACUCGGAAUUACUGGGCGUAAAGCGUGCGCAGGCGGUUAUAUAAGACAGAUGUGAAAUCCCCGGGCUCAACCUGGGAACUGCAUUUGUGACUGUAUAGCUAGAGUACGGCAGAGGGGGAUGGAAUUCCGCGUGUAGCAGUGAAAUGCGUAGAUAUGCGGAGGAACACCGAUGGCGAAGGCAAUCCCCUGGGCCUGUACUGACGCUCAUGCACGAAAGCGUUGGGAGCAAACAGGAUUAGAUACCCCUGUAGUCCCUGUCUCUUAUAC
Molecule: ribosomal RNA, 301 nt
Filed under: uncultured bacterium
Lineage: Bacteria
Description: partial 16S ribosomal RNA
Rfam family: Bacterial small subunit ribosomal RNA
Source: RNAcentral